RNAcentral lists this ribosomal RNA (497 nucleotides) under uncultured bacterium. RNAcentral's name for it is "partial 16S ribosomal RNA". It matches the Rfam family "Bacterial small subunit ribosomal RNA", at positions 28 to 507 of the family's 1533-position model. The record is from RNAcentral.
GAUGAACGCCGGCGGCGUGCCUAAUACAUGCAAGUCGAGCGAACAGACGAGGAGCUUGCUCCUCUGACGUUAGCGGCGGACGGGUGAGUAACACGUGGAUAACCUACCUAUAAGACUGGGAUAACUUCGGGAAACCGGAUCUAAUACCGGAUAAUAUAUUGAACCGCAUGGUUCAAUAGUGAAAGACGGUUUUGCUGUCACUUAUAGAUGGAUCCGCGCCGCAUUAGCUAGUUGGUAAGGUAACGGCUUACCAAGGCAACGAUGCGUAGCCGACCUGAGAGGGUGAUCGGCCACACUGGAACUGAGACACGGUCCAGACUCCUACGGGAGGCAGCAGUAGGGAAUCUUCCGCAAUGGGCGAAAGCCUGACGGGGCAACGCCGCGUGAGUGAUGAAGGUCUUCGGAUCGUAAAACUCUGUUAUUAGGGAAGAACAAAUGUGUAAGUAACUAUGCACGGCUUGACGGUACCUAAUCAGAAAGCCACGGCUAACUACGUG